GGAUGCGAUCAUACCAGCACUAAAGCACCAGAUCCCAUCAGAACUCCGAAGUUAAGCGUGCUUGGGCGAGAGUAGUACUAGGAUGGGUGACCUCUUGGGAAGUCCUCGUGUUGCAUUCC
Molecule: ribosomal RNA, 119 nt
Filed under: Triticum aestivum (bread wheat)
Lineage: Eukaryota; Viridiplantae; Streptophyta; Magnoliopsida; Poales; Poaceae
Also listed under: 1 other name
Source: RNAcentral